UAUCAAUGUUUAGAGGGGACCGCAACAAGAAAGGACGGGGUUCUAUUCAAUGGAAGAACAUGGCAGGUAUUCCAUCACAGCCAAACGACAAACAGUGCGGCUAUUUUGUAAUGAGAUAUAUGAGGGACAUCAUAUAUGAUACAAACUUGGGUUUUGCAGAUAAGUGGGGUAGGAGAGCCAACCAUGUUUAUUGUUAAGGGGAAAUUGAUGAAGUGCGUAAUGAGCUCGCAAGUUAUGUGGUGAAGAACAUCCUCAAGUUGUAGAGUCUGCAGUUGCUCAUGGCCUAGAAGCUCAGAAGUGAAAUAGGCUAGAAAUGUGUUUUUGUGGUCUGAAGUGACAAUUUAAAGUACAUUUCUUCACUUAUUUUGCUAUUGAAGUAGCAUAUACAGAUGUGCUCCUUCUUUUGCUAUUGGAGUAGCAUAUAUAGAUGUGCUCCUUAUUUUGCAUUGUCUAAUCCA
Rosa rugosa (rugosa rose) is the source of this 458-nucleotide long non-coding RNA. RefSeq lists it as uncharacterized. NCBI's taxonomy places the organism in Eukaryota, Viridiplantae, Streptophyta, Magnoliopsida, Rosales, Rosaceae. The transcript has 3 exons. The record is from RefSeq and is a predicted model, not a curated record.